GACGAACGCUGGCGGCGUGCCUAAUACAUGCAAGUUGAGCGAUGAAGAUUGGUGCUUGCACCAAUUUGAAGAGCAGCGAACGGGUGAGUAACGCGUGGGGAAUCUGCCUUUGAGCGGGGGACAACAUUUGGAAACGAAUGCUAAUACCGCAUAACAACUUUAAGCAUAAGUUUUAAGUUUGAAAGAUGCAAUUGCAUCACUCAAAGAUGAUCCCGCGUUGUAUUAGCUAGUUGGUGAGGUAAAGGCUCACCAAGGCGAUGAUACAUAGCCGACCUGAGAGGGUGAUCGGCCACAUUGGGACUGAGACACGGCCCAAACUCCUACGGGAGGCAGCAGUAGGGAAUCUUCGGCAAUGGACGAAAGUCUGACCGAGCAACGCCGCGUGAGUGAAGAAGGUUUUCGGAUCGUAAAACUCUGUUGGUAGAGAAGAACGUUGGUGAGAGUGGAAAGCUCAUCAAGUGACGGUAACUACCCAGAAAGGGACGGCUAACUACGUG
This 497-nucleotide ribosomal RNA is filed under the name uncultured bacterium. Its description in RNAcentral is "partial 16S ribosomal RNA". It matches the Rfam family "Bacterial small subunit ribosomal RNA", at positions 28 to 507 of the family's 1533-position model. The record is from RNAcentral.